RNAcentral lists this ribosomal RNA (429 nucleotides) under Chloroflexota bacterium. RNAcentral's name for it is "Chloroflexi bacterium partial 16S ribosomal RNA". It matches the Rfam family "Bacterial small subunit ribosomal RNA", at positions 355 to 776 of the family's 1533-position model. The record is from RNAcentral. Lineage: Bacteria; Bacillati; Chloroflexota.
UGGGGAAUAUUGCACAAUGGGCGCAAGCCUGAUGCAGCCAUGCCGCGUGUAUGAAGAAGGCCUUCGGGUUGUAAAGUACUUUCAGCGGGGAGGAAGGGAGUAAAGUUAAUACCUUUGCUCAUUGACGUUACCCGCAGAAGAAGCACCGGCUAACUCCGUGCCAGCAGCCGCGGUAAUACGGAGGGUGCAAGCGUUAAUCGGAAUUACUGGGCGUAAAGCGCACGCAGGCGGUUUGUUAAGUCAGAUGUGAAAUCCCCGGGCUCAACCUGGGAACUGCAUCUGAUACUGGCAAGCUUGAGUCUCGUAGGGGGGGGUAUACUUCCAGGUGUAUCGGUGAACUGCGUAGAGAUCUGGAGGAAUACCGGUGGCGAAGGCGGCCCCCUGGACGAAGACUGACGCUCAGGUGCGAAAGCGUGGGGAGCAAACAGG